UUGGCCAGUUUGAAGGUUUUUUAACAAGUGUAAUGGCAUGAAUGUGUUGAAUUAGUACUCCCUUGUGUUAAGCCGUUGUUUUAGUUUUCUUUUGAUGAGUUUGGCUUGUUGUUAUGAAAAGUGUUUGUUUUGGCGAGUUUGAACGUUUUUGAGCAUGUGUAAUGGCAUGAAUGCGUUAAGCUGUUGUUUUAGUGUUCUUUUGAUGAGUUUGGCUUGUUGUUAUGAAAAGUGUUCGUUUUGGCCAGUUUGAAGGUUUUUGAGCAUGUGUAAUGGCAUGAAUGUGUUGAAUUAGUAAUCCCUUGUGUUAAGCCGUUGUUUUAGUGUUCUUUUGAUGAGUUUGGCUUGUUGUUAUGAAAAGUGUUUGUUUUGGCGAGUUUGAACGUUUUUGAGCAUGUGUAAUGGCAUGAAUGCGUUAAGCUGUUGUUUUAGUGUUCUUUUGAUGAGUUUGGCUUGUUGUUAUGAAAAGUGUUUGUUUUGGCGAGUUUGAACGUUUUUGAGCAUGUGUAAUGGCAUGAAUGCGUUAAGCUGUUGUUUUAGUGUUCUUUUGAUGAGUUUGGCUUGUUGUUAUGAACAUUGUUCGUUUUGGCCAGUUUGAAGGUUUUUGAGCAUGUGUAAUGGCAUGAAUGUGUUGAAUUAGUAAUCCCUUGUGUUAAACUGUUGUUUUAGUGUUCUUUUGAUGAGUUUGGCUUGUUGUUAUGAAAAGUGUUUGUUUUGGCGAGUUUGAACGUUUUUGAGCAUGUGUAAUGGCAUGAAUGCAUUAAGCUGUUGUUUUAGUGUUCUUUUGAUGAGUUUGGCUUGUUGUUAUGAAAAGUGUUUAUUUUGGCGAGUUUGAACGUUUUUGAGCAUGUGUAAUGGCAUGAAUGCGUUAAGCUGUUGUUUUAGUGUUCUUUUGAUGAGUUUGGCUUGUUGUUAUGAAAAGUGUUUGUUUUGGCGAGUUUGAACGUUUUUGAGCAUGUGUAAUGGCAUGAAUGCGUGAAGCUGUUGUUUUAGUGUUCUUUUGAUGAGUUUGGCUUGUUGUUAUGAACAUUGUUCGUUUUGGCGAGUUUGAACGUUUUUGAGCAUGUGCAUGAAUGUGUUGAAUUAGUAAUCCCUUGUGUUAAGCUGUUGUUUUAGUGUUCUUUUGAUGAGUUUGGCUUGUAGUUAUGAACAUUGUUUGUUUUGGCGAGUUUGAACGUAUUUGAGCAUGUGUAAUGGCAUGAUGCGUUAAGCUGUUGUUUUAGUGUUCUUUUGAUGAGUUUGGCUUGUUGUUAUGAAAAGUGUUUGUUUUGGCGAGUUUGAAUGUUUUUGAGCAUGUGUAAUGGCAUGAAUGCGUUAAGCUGUUGUUUUAGUGUUCUUUUGAUGAGUUUGGCUUGUUGUUAUGAACAUUGUUCGUUUUGGCCAAUUUGAAGGUUUUUUACCAUGUGUAAUGGCAUGAAUGUGUUGAAUUAGUAAUCCCUUGUGUUAAACUGUUGUUUUAGUGUUCUUUUCAUGAGUUUGGCUUGUUGUUAUGAAAAGUGUUUGUUUUGGCGAGUUUGAACGUUUUUGAGCAUGUGUAAUGGCAUGAAUGCGUUAAGCUGUUGUUUUAGUGUUCUUUUGAUGAGUUUGGCUUGUUGUUAUGAAAAGUGUUUGUUUUGGCGAGUUUGAACGUUUUUGAGCAUGUGUAAUGGCAUGAAUGCGUUAAGCUGUUGUUUUAGUGUUCUUUUGAUGAGUUUGGCUUGUUGUUAUGAAAAGUGUUUGUUUUGGCGAGUUUGAACGUUUUUGAGCAUGUGUAAUGGCAUGAAUGCGUUAAGCUGUUGUUUUAGUGUUCUUUUGAUGAGUUUGGCUUGUUGUUAUGAACAUUGUUCGUUUUGGCCAGUUUGAACGUUUUUUGAGCAUGUGUAAUGGCAUGAAUGUGUUGAAUUAGUACUCCCUUGUGUUAAGCCGUUGUUUUAGUGUUCUUUUGAUGAGUUUGGCUUGUUGUUAUGAAAAGUGUUUGUUUUGGCGAGUUUGAACGUUUUUGAGCAUGUGUAAUGGCAUGAAUGCGUUAAGCUGUUGUUUUAGUGUUCUUUUGAUGAGUUUGGCUUGUUGUUAUGAAAAGUGUUUGUUUUGGCGAGUUUGAAGGUUUUUUAACAUGUGAAAUGGCAUGAAUGUGUUGAAUUAGUAAUCCCUUGUGUUAAGCUGUUGUUUUAGUGUUCUUUUGAUGAGUUUGGCUUGUUGUUAUGAAAAGUGUUUGUUUUGGCGAGUUUGAACGUUUUUGAGCAUGUGUAAUGGCAUGAAUGCGUUAAGCUGUUGUUUUAGUGUUCUUUUGAUGAGUUUGGCUUGUUGUUAUGAAAAGUGUUUGUUUUGGCGAGUUUGAACGUUUUUGAGCAUGUGUAAUGGCAUGAAUGCGUUAAGCUGUUGUUUUAGUGUUCUUUUGAUGAGUUUGGCUUGUUGUUAUGAAAAGUGUUUGUUUUGGCGAGUUUGAACGUUUUUGAGCAUGUGUAAUGGCAUGAAUGUGUUGAAUUAGUAAUCCCUUGUGUUAAAGCUGUUGUUUUAGUGUUCUUUUGAUGAGUUUGGCUUGUUGUUAUGAAAAGUGUUUGUUUUGGCGAGUUUGAACGUUUUUGAGCAUGUGUAAUGGCAUGAAUGCGUUAAGCUGUUGUUUUAGUGUUCUUUUGAUGAGUUUGGCUUGUUGUUAUGAAAAGUGUUUAUUUUGGCGAGUUUGAACGUUUUUGAGCAUGUGUAAUGGCAUGAAUGCGUUAAGCUGUUGUUUUAGUGUUCUUUUGAUGAGUUUGGCUUGUUGUUAUGAAAAGUGUUUGUUUUGGCGAGUUUGAACGUUUUUGAGCAUGUGUAAUGGCAUGAAUGCGUUAAGCUGUUGUUUUAGUGUUCUUUUGAUGAGUUUGGCUUGUUGUUAUGAACAUUGUUUGUUUUGGCGAGUUUGAACGUUUUUGAGCAUGUGUGUGGCAUGAAUGUGUUGAAUUAGUAAUCCCUUGUGUUAAGCUGUUGUUUUAGUGUUCUUUUGAUGAGUUUGGCUUGUUGUUAUGAACAUUGUUUGUUUUGGCGAGUUUGAACGUUUUUGAGCAUGUGUAAUGGCAUGAAUGCGUUAAGCUGUUGUUUUAGUGUUCUUUUGAUGAGUUUGGCUUGUUGUUAUGAAAAGUGUUUGUUUUGGCGAGUUUGAAUGUUUUUGAGCAUGUGUAAUGGCAUGAAUGCGUUAAGCUGUUGUUUUAGUGUUCUUUUGAUGAGUUUGGCUUGUUGUUAUGAACAUUGUUCGUUUUGGCGAGUUUGAACG
Xyrichtys novacula (pearly razorfish) is the source of this 3223-nucleotide non-coding RNA. Lineage: Eukaryota; Metazoa; Chordata; Actinopteri; Labriformes; Labridae. The record is from the annotation of a GenBank genome assembly.